UAGCUGAUGGGGUAGGAAUAACUACAUAUCAAUCUGAUUUGUUCUAGAUCGGGAGGCUGAGGGUCGGUUACUGAAUGACUCUAGUCAAAUGGGGUUGAAUUAUUCAGGGGCAUCAUUGGAGUCACUCCUACUGUUGUUGAGUAUUGGCUCGAGGCUACUGAGCAUAUUAUGAUCGACCUUGAUUGUACAGCCACUUAGAAAUUGAA
Molecule: long non-coding RNA, 206 nt
Filed under: Gossypium raimondii (Peruvian cotton)
Lineage: Eukaryota; Viridiplantae; Streptophyta; Magnoliopsida; Malvales; Malvaceae
Description: long non-coding RNA (GRAI_LNC008178)
Source: RNAcentral